CAAGUCGAACGAGAAAGUGGAGCAAUCCAUGAGUACAGUGGCGUACGCGUGAGUAACACGUGGUAUCAUCUACCUUUUAGUGGGGAAUAACCCUGGGAAACCGGGGAUAAUACCGCAUAAGCCCGAGAGGGGAAAGCAGCAAUGCGCUGAAAGAGGAGUCCGCGGCCGAUUAGCUAGUUGGCGGGGUAAAAGCCCACCAAGGCAGAGAUCGGUAGCCGGCCUGAGAGGGCACACGGCCACACUGGCACUGAAACACGGGCCAGACUCCUACGGGAGGCAGCAGUGGGGAAUCUUGCACAAUGGGGGAAACCCUGAUGCAGCGACGCCGCGUGAGCGAUGAAGCCCUUCGGGGUGUAAAGCUCUUUCGGCAGGGAAGAUUAUGACGGUACCUGCAGAAGCAGCUGCGGCUAACUACGUGCCAGCAGCCGCGGUGAUACGUAGGCAGCAAGCGUUGUUCGGAGUUACUGGGCGUAAAGGGUGUGUAGGCGGUUGUUUAAGUUUGGUGUGAAAUCUCCCGGCUCAACUGGGAGGGUGCGCCGAAUACUGAAUAACUUCGAGUGCGGGAGAGGAAAGUGGAAUUCCUGGUGUAGCGGUGAAAUGCGUAGAUAUCAGGAGGAACACCGGUGGUGUAGACGGCUUUCUGGACCGUAACUGACGCUGAGACACGAAAGCGUGGGUAGCAAACAGGAUUAGAUACCCUGGUAGUCCACGCCCUAAACGAUGCAUAUUUGGUGUGGGUCAUUCAGUUGAUCCGUGCCGGAGCUAACGCGUUAAAUAUGCCGCCUGGGGAGUACAGUCGCAAGGCUGAAACUCAAAGGAAUUGACGGGGGCCCGCACAAGCGGUGGAGCAUGUGGUUCAAUUCGACGCAACGCGAAGAACCUUACCUGGGCUCG
RNAcentral lists this ribosomal RNA (894 nucleotides) under uncultured Bacillota bacterium. RNAcentral describes it as "bacterial SSU rRNA". It matches the Rfam family "Bacterial small subunit ribosomal RNA", at positions 58 to 983 of the family's 1533-position model. Lineage: Bacteria; Bacillati; Bacillota. The record is from RNAcentral.